RNAcentral lists this ribosomal RNA (33 nucleotides) under Calanthe densiflora. Its description in RNAcentral is "partial 18S ribosomal RNA". Lineage: Eukaryota; Viridiplantae; Streptophyta; Magnoliopsida; Asparagales; Orchidaceae. The record is from RNAcentral.
GUUUCCGUAGGUGAACCUGCGGAAGGAUCACUG